AGUGAACGCUGGCGGUAGGCCUAACACAUGCAAGUCGAACGGCAGCACAGUAAGAGCUUGCUCUUACGGGUGGCGAGUGGCGGACGGGUGAGGAAUACAUCGGAAUCUACUUUUUCGUGGGGGAUAACGUAGGGAAACUUACGCUAAUACCGCAUACGACCUACGGGUGAAAGCAGGGGAUCUUCGGACCUUGCGCGAUUGAAUGAGCCGAUGUCGGAUUAGCUAGUUGGCGGGGUAAAGGCCCACCAAGGCGACGAUCCGUAGCUGGUCUGAGAGGAUGAUCAGCCACAAUGGAACUGGGACACGGUCCAGACUCCUACGGGAGGCAGCAGUGGGGAAUAUUGGACAAUGGGCGCAAGCCUGAUCCAGCCAUACCGCGUGGGUGAAGAAGGCCUUCGGGUUGUAAAGCCCUUUUGUUGGGAAAGAAAAGCAGCAGGUUAAUACCCCGCUGUUCUGACGGUACCCAAAGAAUAAGCACCGGCUAACUUCGU
RNAcentral lists this ribosomal RNA (491 nucleotides) under uncultured bacterium. RNAcentral describes it as "partial 16S ribosomal RNA". It matches the Rfam family "Bacterial small subunit ribosomal RNA", at positions 29 to 506 of the family's 1533-position model. The record is from RNAcentral.